Molecule: ribosomal RNA, 442 nt
Filed under: uncultured bacterium
Lineage: Bacteria
Description: partial 16S ribosomal RNA
Rfam family: Bacterial small subunit ribosomal RNA
Source: RNAcentral
CCUACGGGAGACAGCAGUAGGGAAUCUUUCACAAUGGGCGAAAGCCUGAUGGAGCAACGCCGCGUGCAGGAUGAAGGCCUUCGGGUUGUAAACUGCUUUUAUAAGCGAGAAAUAUGAUGGUAACUUAUGAAUAAGGAUCGGCUAACUACGUGCCAGCAGCCGCGGUCAUACGUAGGAUCCGAGCAUUAUCCGGAGUGACUGGGUGUAAAGAGUUGCGUAGGUGGCAUAAUAAGUAGCUAGUGAAAUCUGGUGGCUCAACCAUUCAGACUAUUAGCUAAACUGUUAAGCUCGAGACCGUUAGGGGUAACUGGAAUUUCUAGUGUAGGAGUGAAAUCCGUAGAUAUUAGAAGGAACACCAGUAGCGUAGGCAGGUUGCUGGGACGGUUCUGACACUAAGGCACGAAAGCGUAGGGAGCAAACGGGAUUAGAUACCCCAGUAGUC